This 505-nucleotide ribosomal RNA is filed under the name uncultured bacterium. RNAcentral describes it as "partial 16S ribosomal RNA". It matches the Rfam family "Bacterial small subunit ribosomal RNA", at positions 28 to 507 of the family's 1533-position model. The record is from RNAcentral.
GACGAACGCUGGCGGCGUGCCUAAUACAUGCAAGUAGAACGCACAGUUUAUACCGUAGCUUGCUACACCAUAGACUGUGAGUUGCGAACGGGUGAGUAACGCGUAGGUAACCUGCCUGGUAGCGGGGGAUAACUAUUGGAAACGAUAGCUAAUACCGCAUAAUAUUAAUUAUUGCAUGAUAAUUAAUUGAAAGGUGCAAUUGCACCACUACCAGAUGGACCUGCGUUGUAUUAGCUAGUAGGUGAGGUAACGGCUCACCUAGGCGACGAUACAUAGCCGACCUGAGAGGGUGAUCGGCCACACUGGGAAUGAGAAACGGCCCAGACUCCUACGGGAGGCAGCAGUAGGGAAUCUUCGGAAAUGGACGAAAGUCUGACCGAGCAACGCCGCGUGAGUGAAGAAGGUUUUCGGAUCGGAAAGCUCUGUUGUAAGAGAAGAACGGGUGUGAGAGUGGAAAGUUCACACUGUGACGGUAUCUUAACAGAAAGGGACGGCUAACUACGUG